RNAcentral lists this ribosomal RNA (253 nucleotides) under uncultured bacterium. Its description in RNAcentral is "partial 16S ribosomal RNA". It matches the Rfam family "Bacterial small subunit ribosomal RNA", at positions 524 to 776 of the family's 1533-position model. The record is from RNAcentral.
UACGUAGGUGGCGAGCGUUAUUCGGAAUCACUGGGCGUAAAGGGUCCGUAGGGGGCAAGGUCAGUCUGAUGUGAAAGCCGGGGGCUCAACCCCCGAAGUGCAUUGGAUACUGCCUUGCUAGAGUGUGUGAGAGGUAAGCGGAAUUCGUGGUGUAGCGGUGGAAUGCGUAGAUAUCACGAGGAAGACCAAAGGCGUAAGCAGCUUACUGGCACAUAACUGACCCUGAGGGACGAAAGCUAGGGGAGCGAAAAGG